AGUACCACGCCGGAUGAACGGAAAUCAUUGAUGUUGAUUAAUAUGGGAUUUGGAAAAUAUCUCUGGUGCUA
This 71-nucleotide transfer RNA is filed under the name Conus tulipa (tulip cone). Its description in RNAcentral is "tRNA-Ile". The record is from RNAcentral. Lineage: Eukaryota; Metazoa; Mollusca; Gastropoda; Neogastropoda; Conidae.